UAGGGAAUCCUCCACAAUGGGCGAAAGCCUGAUGGAGCAACGCCGCGUGUGUGAUGAAGGGUUUCGGCUCGUAAAACACUGUUGUAAGAGAAGAAUGACAUUGAGAGUAACUGUUCAAUGUGUGACGGUAUCUUACCAGAAAGGAACGGCUAAAUACGUGCCAA
This 164-nucleotide ribosomal RNA is filed under the name uncultured bacterium. RNAcentral's name for it is "partial 16S rRNA". It matches the Rfam family "Bacterial small subunit ribosomal RNA", at positions 355 to 511 of the family's 1533-position model. The record is from RNAcentral.